AAUCAUCUAUCUGUUUUCUGAAAAUUAUGUUUGAGAUAUAUGAAUCACUCUUUACUUCAAACAUCUCAUUAACACCUUUUUUUUUUCUAUUUUUCUAUCAUAUCAUAUCACCUGAUAUACCUACAAUUUUGUAUUCUUUUUUCUCUUUCUCUCAUUAGGUGUCAAAUAGAUGAGAGGGUGUCCAUGAAUCAUUUUUUGUUUGGCAAAUAAAUUCUGAUUGUCCAACAUAUGUCUAGGCACACACGAGACAAGUAACAACCUUGUUUCAUCUUCAUUGACCAGACAAUCAGCAGCACUCAGAAACUUUAAGUUCAUAAUUUACUGCAGGAAUUGUAAUUACCCCCCGCCCCCUAUACUCAUUAGGUGCAUAUACAUCUAGUGAGAGUAUUGUUUAGAUGCAUAAAUAUUAUUGUUGAUAUAGGGGAUUUACCACUACUGUGGAUAGCGCAGCAGAUUCCAUGCCAGCAAAAUUAUCCUCUAUCACGUGUUUAUUAUAUAUAUUGAUCCUUAUCAGGCUCUCAACCGUGCGUGUAUAUAUAUGAAUAUUUGUAUGCACAAGUUGAUACUUUAGCCCCACUGACUGCAACUGGUAUUAAGAAAUGCAAACAAAAUUAAGAAAAAGGAAAAAAUUAAUGACCUAAUCACAUUACCGGAAACUAACACCAAGGUUUAAAAGUCAGCCUCAAAUACCACUUGCACGUGUUAAUUCAGACAGCUAUAGAGUAGGAAAAUCAGUUGCACGAAUACUAUACUAAAACAAAUGUUAAAAUCUUAUCCAUUGAAUUUAAAUUGAAGAUUUAAAAACAAAACCUUUGACAGAAAUCAAAGGCAUGGGAUUACAGCUUAGAAUUCGUACUAAUGAGCAUUUUCCUAAUUCAAAUGGGAGGGGUUGAGGGUUGAAAACAUUUCUAUAUUUGAAGCUAUACAAUAAUUUCUCCAAGCAUAUUAUAAUUUUCUAAUAAGAUAAUUCGGGAUCUAUAUAAACUCCUAGACCUUACACUCUUCCUCAUCCUCAUCUUAAAAACACACUACCUGCUAACAAAGCAUCUUCAGACACAAUGAAUGACCGUGUCCGACAUGCUCCAGCUGCAGAAGUUGCCAACAGGGACAGGUCCCAAGGAGUCACAAAGUCACUUCCAAAAAGAGGGCAGAUUAAGUCCAAGAUAGUGGCAAGUGCCUUUCAUUGCAUCACCAAUGUAAUUUGUCAAGCCUCGUCAGCUGGUGGCCUGCAUUUUCCAAGACAAAAAUAGUCACUUAGCUUGAAGCAGGGCUGAUUAAUGCUUAAGGAUUUUCUUGUUUGUAUAUUGUAUCAUUUAGUUUUUCUCCUUCCUCCUGUAACUUCUAUUGUUGUUAUUAUUAUUAUACACAUGGCUCCAUGCUUUUCCCCCUUCUUGGUUUCCUAUAUACAGCUUUCGAAAAUAAUUUAAUCCAACCUAUAUAUAUAAAGGAUGACAUGCACUAAUAAAUAAGUAAACUUAAGAUAAAAUUGUUACACGCAAAUAGUUUUAUUUUUUAAAAUCCACCAAUGUAUAUAAAAGGGAGUUCGCUUUAAUACACUGCCUUAGUAGCACACACUUAUCACUAUUUUCGUAGUAACUUUAGCUUCCUUCUUUUCUUCUAAUUUUGUAUUCCUUACUUUCUAGCAAGUUUAUAUGGUUGUUUUAUGAUAACGGACUUAAUUAUACUUUAAUGGGAAGGCAUGUCAAACAGCAGGAAAUAAAAGAAAAUAGAAUGGUCUAAUAACAAUAACAAAAUAGCAAGAAAAACUUCAAAAAAACUGAAACAUAAGACUGUAAUUGCAGGAUCUUCCUAUUAGAAAGACCCUUUCAAAAAUAAGCGUAUGCUGCUUUAGGUGACAGAAACACGGUAUUCUUUAGUAAAAGGCGAAAGAAUAGUUCGCUUUGUUUCUAUCACACAGCUCCGUGGUAAGCAUAACCAAUUACCCUUAAUUAUAUAGCAUAGAUAGUUUACUUGCUCUUAGUAUACCAUUCUAUGUGGGCUUUCGGUAAUAAAAUGUAGACACCACACGUUUAACACUCUCCAGUCUCCAAU
RNAcentral lists this long non-coding RNA (2052 nucleotides) under Glycine max (soybean). RNAcentral describes it as "long non-coding RNA (GMAX_LNC001629)". The record is from RNAcentral. Lineage: Eukaryota; Viridiplantae; Streptophyta; Magnoliopsida; Fabales; Fabaceae.